GGCAGCUGCGGCUCCCGGGCGAGGACAUGGCCAAGGUGUCGGUGCUGAAUGUGGCUGUGCUGGAGAACCCGAGCCCUUUCCACAGCCCCUUCCGGUUCGAGAUCAGCUUCAAAUGCAGCGAGGCCCUGUCUGACGACCUGGAGUGGAAGAUCAUUUAUGUGGGCUCAGCUGAGAGUGAGGAGUUUGAUCAGAUCCUAGACUCAGUGUUGGUGGGCCCUGUUCCUGCAGGAAGGCAUAUGUUCAUCUUUCAGGCUGGUGCCCCAAACCCAUCCCUCAUUCCAGAGACAGACGCCAUGGGUGUGACUGUGGUUCUCAUCACCUGCACCUACCAUGGACAAGAGUUUAUCCGUGUGGGCUACUAUGUCAACAAUGAGUACCCAAACCCAGAGCUUCGGGAGAACCCACCCCCAAAGCCAGACUUCUCUCAGCUACAGCGGAACAUCUUGGCCUCUAACCCCCGGGGUGACCCAAUUCCAUAUCAACUGGGACAACAAUCCAGACAGUCUGGAAGCCAUAGAAAACCAGGACCCUAAUGUGGACUUCAGCCUUCCCCUCAGUUGCACUCCCGUUAAAAGCCUGGGCCUCCCUAGCUGUAUCCCAGGCCUCCUUCCUGAGAACUCCAUGGAUUGCAUCUGA
Mastomys coucha (southern multimammate mouse) is the source of this 636-nucleotide RNA transcript. It is a transcript of the gene named histone chaperone ASF1B pseudogene, with no coding region annotated. The record is from RefSeq and is a predicted model, not a curated record. Lineage: Eukaryota; Metazoa; Chordata; Mammalia; Rodentia; Muridae. The transcript has a single exon.